RNAcentral lists this ribosomal RNA (497 nucleotides) under uncultured bacterium. RNAcentral describes it as "partial 16S ribosomal RNA". It matches the Rfam family "Bacterial small subunit ribosomal RNA", at positions 28 to 507 of the family's 1533-position model. The record is from RNAcentral.
GAUGAACGCUGGCGGCGUGCCUAAUACAUGCAAGUCGAGCGAACGGACGAGAAGCUUGCUUCUCUGAUGUUAGCGGCGGACGGGUGAGUAACACGUGUAUAACCUACCUAUAAGACUGGGAUAACUUCGGGAAACCGGAUCUAAUACCGGAUAAUAUUUUGAACCGCAUGGUUCAAAAGUGAAAGACGGUCUUGCUGUCACUUAUAGCUGGAUCCGCGCUGCAUUAGCUAGUUGGUAAGGUAACGGCUUACCAAGGCAACGAUGCAUAGCCGACCUGAGAGGGUGAUCGGCCACACUGGAAGUGAGACACGGUCCAGACUCCUACGGGAGGCAGCAGUAGGGAAUCUUCCGCAAUGGGCGAAAGCCUGACGGAGCAACGCCGCGUGAGUGAUGAAGGUCUUCGGAUCGUAAAACUCUGUUAUUAGGGAAGAACAGAUGUGUAAGUAACUGUGCACAUCUUGACGGUACCUAAUCAGAAAGCCACGGCUAACUACGUG